AAAUCAAUUUACCAAAAAUUCUGAAAUUUCGGGAAAUUUUUGUACAUAAGUAAAGUACCAUUUCAACAAAUUAAGUUUAAAAAUUAUCACUUCUAGGUGGUUUAUUAACCAGACCGAAAAAAAAAAAAAACCAACAACGAGAGGGGGUCUUAGAUCGAUCACUGGGGCACUGCACUUUCCCCUUUGUAGUCCAUACACAGAGUAACCUUUGCAACUGCUGCUUUGGAAAUACAUUCUUUGUUUGACUUAAAAUGUAACCCCUCCCUACCGCCAAAUAUUAUUAAGGUUUAAAGUUUAGGCAGAAGCUAAGGUUUUAACGAUGUGUCAGGUUGUGGAACCAUUGACAGCUGGUGGAAUACUUUCCAUUUUGGUUACUGGAAACAAGCAAUUAAAUAUAAUAUCAAUUUUGAAAAUUUCGCUUCAACAAAAGUGUCAAAUAAUGAGAUUCAUGGAGUUUUUUCUAGUAGUUCUGGAGAACUUGUGGAGAAAAAUUCAUGAAUCUUAGUAGUUAACGAAAAGUAUAUAGCUUUUCCAUUUACUUUAAAAAAACAUAGUAUUAUAUAACUUCCCCACAUGGUUAUUAAAAGAAAUUGCACUUUCUAACUUCUAAAACCAUAAAUUAUUGUGUAAAACAUGUAGGUAAGCCAUAUAUUUUAAAUAUUUUUAAAAGCUGUCUCAACAUGGGCUCUGACUAUUGAGAAAAAAAGAUAAAGUAAUGUGAAAUCCGUUUUCCCAAAUGAGAAUCAAUGAGUCAACAGUUUGCAGUUUCCAGAAGUGAUAUCUCUUUUGCAUGCUUGAACUAUUAAAUAAGCAAAUAUCUUUGAUGGAAAAUCCAAUGUUACCAAAUGUGUUGCAGAAGACUGUUAGUAUUGAUGCAAAGCAUGAUUCCUUUAACUUCUUUCCAUGGUAACUAGUUUUAUCACUGUUUUUCAGUGGGAGUUGCAGAGCAUGAAAAUGAUUUUGCAAGACUUUUCCAGGUCAUGAGGUGCUCUCUCAGAAAUUUCUUCUGCUCCCUAAAGCGAGACGGGGUUUCACUAUGUUGACCAGGAUGCUCUCGAUCCCUUGACCUCAUGAUCCACCCGCCUCGGCCUCCCAAAGUGCUGGGAUUAUAGGCGUGAGCCACCGCACCCGGCCUAAAAUCUUAUAAUUCUUAAUGAUAUAGUUCAUAUAUUGGUAUAGACUAGUUUUUGUUUUCUUUUCUUUCUGUCUUUUUUUAAUUUUUUUUUGAGAUAGGGUCUCAACUGUUAGCUAAGGCUAGAGUGCAGUGGUUCAUUCAAGGCUCACUGCAGCCUUAAUCUCUUGAGCUCAAGUGAUUCUCCUGCCUCAGCCUCCCAGAAGCUGGACUACAGCCACAUGCUGCCACACCUGGCUAAUUAUGUAUUACUUGUAGAGAGGGUAAUCUCCCUAGGUUGCCUAGGGUGGUCUUAAACUCCUAGGCUCAAGAGAUCCUCCCACCUCACCAGCUCCCUCACAAAGUGCUGAGAUUACAUGUGUGAGCCACUGUGUAUGGCCUAGAAUAGUUUUCUUAGCCCUAAACUUUAGGAAAAUAUAUGUCUGAUUCUUUUACUAUUAUAAGCAACACUGCUUUAACCUUCUUGAACAAAUUACUCUUUGGGAUAAUAAGUGAUGGAAAUAUUUUCUUGGGAUAUAUUUUUAAAAGUGGGUUGUUAAAAUUAAAAGAAAUUUUAUUUUUCUGUUUA
This is a non-coding RNA of Callithrix jacchus (white-tufted-ear marmoset), 1700 nucleotides long. NCBI's taxonomy places the organism in Eukaryota, Metazoa, Chordata, Mammalia, Primates, Cebidae. The record is from RefSeq and is a predicted model, not a curated record.